This is a long non-coding RNA of Ictalurus furcatus (blue catfish), 2083 nucleotides long. RefSeq lists it as uncharacterized. The transcript has 3 exons. The record is from RefSeq and is a predicted model, not a curated record. Lineage: Eukaryota; Metazoa; Chordata; Actinopteri; Siluriformes; Ictaluridae.
GUGUUCCAGAGCGGCGUGUCGGACUCGGUUCCUGCAGGAGCGUCAGUGACUCUGCAGUGCUCGGUUCUCUCUGAGAGCAGAUCAGCAGAACUCCAAGUGCUCUGGUUCAGAGCUGCUCCACCACAAUCCCGUCCUCAAAUCAUUUACACUCAUCACAACAGCAGCCGUCAGUGUGAGAGCGGCUCUUCUACACACACCUGUGUGUACAACUUCUCCAAGAACAUCCUCAGCCUCAAUGAUACUGGAACUUACUACUGCGCUGUGGCCGUGUGUGGGAAGAUCAUUUUUGGGAACGGGACACGAGUACAGUUGGGUAAGAACACAUUCAUUGACUCAAAGUAUGCAUAAUAUAUUAAAAUUUAAAAUUGGUUUAAUUUUUUUUUUUUUUAAAUGUAGACAUGUAGAUUGCUAACAUGAUCAUCAAUAUAAUCACAGGGAGUUCUAGAUAUUAUUUGCUAUUCACAUGAAAUUAUAUGUGAUAAAGUACAUGUUCAUUGUUAUGACUUGUGUGUGUGUGUGUGUGUGUGUGUGUGUGUGUGUGUGUGUGUGUGUGUGUGUGCUACAGAAGAAUCUGUGGAUCCUGUAGUGAUCUUUCUCGCUGUCUCUUUGGGAGUGUGUGUGGUUGUGAUCUUUACUCAUGCUGUAACGUGUAAAGGGAGAAACUGUGAAUGUUGCACUGGGAAAACUCAAGAUUCUACGGUAAAGAAAACACCAAAUCAGAGCCGUGAUGCAGUGGAGCUGAAUUUUGCUGCCUUACACGUCAAUAAAAGAAGAGGAAAGAGAGAACGAGCUUGUGAUAAUGUGUAUACUGAAGUCAUUUACUCUUCUGUUUCUUAGAUAUUAGAUGUCAUUGAUUUUCUCAUGUUAAUUACUCUCAUGGUCAUAAUGUUCAUUAACUGGUGAUGAAUGAAUGAAUGAAUGAAUAAAUAAAUAAAUAAAUAAAUAAAGUAAUUAAUACAUGCAUUUGUGGUCGAGUUCACCCAAGCGUUAUGAGAAUAAAAAUGUGGGUUUUUUAAAAAUUAUUUUUCCCCUUUUCUUUUCUUCUUUUCUGACACGCUGAAGCUGCUCCUACUGUACUGCAAACUGUAUGUAUUGCUUUGAGCUUCUUUGUGAGUGGUACAUAUUUGAAUGCGGUGACAUUAUUCCUCUCCAAAUAUGUUUUCACAAAUUGAUAUUUACAUGCAUAACCCAGACGUUCCCUUUCAAAGGGAACUCCACGUUGCGUUUAGCAUAACACUAUGGGAACGAGAAUACCCACUCCGUCAUACUGAGGGUACGGCCUGUUCAAAAAGACCCAAACCCAAGGGUUACUGCAAGACACUCGAGCCCGGGGUGGAAUGAAUAUCCAGGCUGUAAUAUCAAAUGAAUGUGUGUGGUGUAGACCACCCUGCAGCAGCACACACAUCCUGUAAGGAUACCCCUUUGGACAAAGUCUUCGAGGAGGCGACCGUCCUAGUGAGCCCUUAUGCCCAGAGGUGUAGUGAGACCGUGCGCCUCAAAAGCAAUAGAGAUUGCAUCCACUAUCCAAUUAGAGAUGUGCUGCUUUGACACAGCAUCACCUCUACUGAUGCAGACCAGCAGCUGCUCUGACUUACGCCACUGGCCGGAGCGGUGGACGUAAGUACAGAGAGUCCUUACUGGACACAGCAGGUGCAUUCUCUCUUGUUCCGGUGUGGGGAACAGAGGAGGGCAGAAAGCCUGCAACACCACAGGGUGGGCAGCCGAUGUAGGCACUUUAGGAAUAUAAUCCGGACUAGGAUACAGGAAGAUGUUGGUUAAUCCAGGGGCAAAGUCAAAGCAGGAAUGGGCAACAGAGAGCUUGUAGAUCUCCUACUCGCUUGAAAGAUGUCAGGGCCAGCAGAAGAGCUACCUUUAGAGUCAGAAGCUUCUCAGAGGCUGACUCUAAGGGCUCAGAUGGGGCCCCUGACAGACCUUCCAGGACCACAGAAAGGUCCCAGGAAGGUAUGCGCGGCCUGCAGAUGGGCCUCAGCCACACGACACCACGCAUGAACCUCGAAGUUAGAGGAUGUUGCCCCACAGAGGCUGCAUCAACAGGGGCGUGGCUGGCCGAAAUGGCGACUAU